This 525-nucleotide long non-coding RNA is filed under the name Eucalyptus grandis. RNAcentral describes it as "long non-coding RNA (EGRA_LNC001694)". The record is from RNAcentral. Lineage: Eukaryota; Viridiplantae; Streptophyta; Magnoliopsida; Myrtales; Myrtaceae.
UUCAAGCUUCGGGUUCUUCACAAUAGGGACUUGAAAAUGGUUAUUCAAUAACCAGUGAGAUAUAAAUCUCAGUGAGUUCUUACCCUAAUCCCCUGAUUAGUACACCAACUCAACUCGAGGUAUCUUUUCAAAACCAUCCCACAACAAACCAAAGAUUAACAAUCAACAAUCAAUAGUCGAUUCGCAUACAUCCUUACUUGAUAUGCCAUACCCUGCACGUCAUAACUCAGCACAAUACACACAAUGCACAUGGCCAUUAGAUGAUGUAGUUCAUCAAUCACAUACAAAUCACGUUACAAGAGAUCUCACCUGCCCAUUGCCACACGAACACAUUGUCUGGGGUAGAGGUGCGGACGCACCACCAUCCCUCAUCCCAGCCCAGUAUUGUCCUCUUUGGCCCAGCCCAGUAUUGUCCUCUUUGGGCCACACACUAGCACGGACGAAUCGCCAUCCCAGUCGAGCCACCUCUCAAGGCUUUGUUCUCAACACAACGGAAGCAUACGUGAAAUGCGUUAGUGGUUCAUG